UCCCUUCUGCCGCCUCCUCCCAAUCGUAAAAAUGCAUCUUGCGAGGCAGCGCCGGCCCCGUGGCCCGGGCAGUGCCACACUCACCCCGUGCCCUCGGCCACCCGGUGCCCCGGGCCGGCUGGCGCUCGGCAGAUGCUCUAAUUCGGGGUUCCUGCCUCGGGAGUGGCGUCAUGAGCUGGAUGAGCUCAGGCUUUAAGCUACAAAGGCUUCUUAAGGGGAGCCCCUGUCUGGGUCUGGUUAUUGGGACACCAGCGCCGGAAGGCGAUGCUGGGCUUAACGGGAUAAGGGCAAAGUGUGGAGCGUGGCGGGGUUGGGGGGGCUGUAAUCCUCUGCCAGCACAGCCCUGUGGGAGCCUGGGGGCAGCAUCCUCCAUCACAGCCGCUGUCCUCUCCCAUGGGAUGUGCAGGGAAUGCACGGGAUGCGUUCCUCAGAAGGAAGUUGUGUCUGGAGCUCUGGAGCCCCAUUUGGGUCACCGCGCUGCCCGUUGAGAGCUCCGGGGCUCUCUGGGGUUGGGCUGAAAACAGGGAGAAGCCUGAACCCUGAAGGUGGUGCACUUUGCAGCCCUGACCCCGUGGUGGGAGUGUCUGGACUCCCCGGUGACCCCGGUGUCCCCAGGCCCGGUGGCUCCUCCAGCCCAGCCGGCCCCUGAGGGAAGUCUGAGCUGGAUGAGCUUCUCCGCUUCUCCCCCUGUUUUUACCAUCCCCUUGUUUUCAGAACCAGCAAAGCCAGCGAGGUGACAAGAGAUGGAGCAUCCCUGAGGAGACAACAGAGACCAUCAGCUGCUCCAGCUGGACACUGAUCCUGGAAGAAGGCAGAAAGCUGCUGGACCAGCAAGAGCUUUCAGUAAUGGAGUGAUCCAUAACAGCCCAGCAUGACCUGGGACUGGCACAGAGCCUGGCUGCUGUCACACCCCUGCUGAGGAGGCAGGCUGAUCCCAGCCCGGGUAAGAGCUGGGGUGUUGGGAAGGUGGAGAAGGAAAUGGGGUGACAGGAAUGCUCUUGGAGAGAAGGCAUUGGCACCCUCUGGUCUGGGAGAGCACCCCAGGCAGACUGAGCCAGCACGGGUGUGGCAGCAGGAUGUGGGGACCUGGCUGUGGCCACCCCUUCCUGCAGGAACCUCUGCACACCGGAGCUCUACUGGGAGCACUGGUCCCUCCUGGGGUCACACCGAGCCUCUGAAGCUUUUUGGUUUAAUGAACUUUUCAUAGAAUCACAGAAAAGUUUGGAGGAGGGACCUUAAAUCUCAUCUUGUCCCAACCCCCUCCAUGGGCAGGGACACCUCCCACUAGAGCAGAUUGCUCCGAGCUUUUAUGUCCAAUAACAGAAAGAGCUCGAUAGCAAAAAUAAUCCCACUUUUCGUAGCAUUUGGGGCAUUCCUGGGGCUCGUUAUCGCACCACGCGUUGCGAGCACUAACAAAAAGCUGAGCGAGCCGAGGACAGCGUGUCCCCUGCUCCAGGUCAGCCCCUCCCGGCAGCGGCUGCUCUUUGUGCGGGGCCCGGUGCCCGCUCCGAGCGCGCUCCCUCUGCCGUCCCCGGUGCUGCGGAUCCAGCGGAGCGUGAACCACGCGGAACAGCGAGCGAGGAUGGAGGAGGUGGCAGCGUUCCUGCACACGGGAGCUCUGUGCUGGAAAAAAGGGAGAGAAACGCUGAUUUUUAGAGGGGAGAAGUUGCUCCGGUUUGGCCUCUGGCCACAGCCCAGGGGCUCCCCACACUCAAAGCUGGGUGAAGCGCGGCUCCCCCGUUGCUGAGGGAUGUGGGAUGGAGCACUGGACACACGGCUUGACCCCUUCCCAUCCCAUCAGGAUGCCCAAGAAGGGCAGGUAGGACAAUUAAGGCUUGGUCCCACUGCCUUCUCAGCACUCCGGGUGUGAGAGGGCUCCUUGUAGGGCCGAGAGCUGUGCCACCCUCAUGUCAGGGUGCCAGUGCUGGUCAGGAGCUGCCAAAUGCUCUGGAAAGCUUCAAAAUGAGAGAGAAAUUGGGAUAUGUAUGCUGGAUCCGGGCCAGCCUGGAGCCCUGCCUGGGAGUUUGUAUUUCCUUGUACCUGCUCCCCUUUUUCCAUGGCUUUGCAGCUGUGGGAAAGGGAUGCUCUGGGAGCACGGUGUGAUCUUGAGAGUUUUAUCUACAAAAGAUGCAGAAAUAAACAUGAUUUUUGGUACAAAAAAACCGUGAUUUUUUUCUCCAUAUCCUAGCUUUGCUGGUGCAGAGCUGAACCUGGAGCCUUGUGGCACUGAGCUGCAGGGAGCUCAUCCAGGCUGGAAGGGGCAGCUGAGGAGCUGGAGCAGCAUCACAGCUGUGGUGGGCUGGGCACUGCCACCACAUCCCUGGAGAAGGCUGGAAAUCCUGUUUCCUGCUCCAAAAAUCCACCGUGGCACACCAGGUGUGGUGUCUCAGAGCCCAGACACAGGCUCUGGGGCAUGGAGGUGUCCCCGCUGCCCAGAUGUCACCAGGGCUGAAGGCCAGGUGGGUGGGAAGUGGGGAGGACAGGACCCUUGGCACGAUGAAUAUUCCCCAGGGACAAACCAGCAAGCAGAGCCCUGGUCACACUGGUCAAGCCUUUUUGUCCCCGAGGGUGUGCACACCUGUGUGACAGCUCUGUGACAGCAGUGUCCCUCCUGGUGACCCCUGGAGGCUGCCCCUGCCCUCGCAGUCACACGAGGAGCCCCAGCCCAGCCCCCGGCUGAGUUUAGAGGUCAAAGCAGCCAGAACUGGGCCAGGCUGCCGCUCCCUGCUGCUCUGCUGGGAUGAAGGACGCCUUCUCCCAGAUGGCCACUUUGGCGGGACAAGUGUUCAUCCACGUGGCCCUGGCUUGGUGGCACAGGAGGGGUUUGUCCUUGGGACAGGUUCUGCCCAGGGGCUGGA
Corvus hawaiiensis (hawaiian crow) is the source of this 2858-nucleotide RNA transcript. RefSeq lists it as uncharacterized. Lineage: Eukaryota; Metazoa; Chordata; Aves; Passeriformes; Corvidae. The transcript is spliced from 2 exons. The record is from RefSeq and is a predicted model, not a curated record.